This 200-nucleotide ribosomal RNA is filed under the name uncultured bacterium. RNAcentral's name for it is "partial 16S ribosomal RNA". It matches the Rfam family "Bacterial small subunit ribosomal RNA", at positions 8 to 240 of the family's 1533-position model. The record is from RNAcentral.
AGAGUUUGAUCAUGGCUCAGAGCGAACGCUGGCGGCAGGCCUAACACAUGCAAGUCGAGCGCCCCGCAAGGGGAGCGGCAGACGGGAGAGUAACACGUGGGAACGUGCCCUUUGGUUCGGAACAACACAGGGAAACUUGUGCUAAUACCGGAUAAGCUUACGGGGAAAGAUUUAUCGCCAAAGGAUCGGCCCGCGUCUGA